This 817-nucleotide long non-coding RNA is filed under the name Nicotiana benthamiana. RNAcentral's name for it is "long non-coding RNA (NBEN_LNC015557)". The record is from RNAcentral. Lineage: Eukaryota; Viridiplantae; Streptophyta; Magnoliopsida; Solanales; Solanaceae.
UCUCUAAUGAAAAUGGAACAUUCAGUGGCGAAAUUAGCUUGCGAUGAUACUCAGCCACUCACUCAUCUCCAAUGACGAUAUCGUCGCCAAUAUACUAGUUCUUUACCGGACACAGCACAAUCCUUAUUGAAGCUGGAUGAAGAUGGCAGUCCAAAUAUCAGAUUUAAGCCAAUGAAGAACCAUUUUGUUAUUAAUGAUGCUAAUUCUAGAUAUUGUACAUUGUAUAGUGCUGCUAACGAUAGGCAUAGUAUUCUGUAGGUUAGAGCUUAAUUUGUCAAAUUGUAAUGGAGGUAAUCUCCCAACUUAGGCAGAGUUCUUGGCAUCCUGUUGUUCACAAGGAUGAUCUAUGUCAUUCCUCACCAUGUUCUGGAGGUCAUUCCGCAACAUUAAAACAAAUUAACAUAAAAUAUGAUGAAUUCGUAUCUUCUCAACAAGACCAGUAUCCUCAUUUGGCUUUUUAGAGCUUUUGAUCCCAACUUAGGCAAAGUUCUUGGCAUCAUGUUGUUCACAAGGAUGAUCUAUGUCAUUCCUCACCAUGUUCUGGAGGUCAUUCCGCAACAUUAAAACAAAUUAACAUAAAAUAUGAUGAAUUCAUAUCCACGAAUACUCAUAUUUCAUUCUAUUAAAUCGUAAAAAGUGAAUCUACAUAAUUGAGCAAAUUGUUCAAGUCCCAUAGUAAAAUAUUCAAUUCCCACGUCCGAUAGGCAGAAACACUACACAUCUACGGAAUUUAUCAAAUAAUGCAAAUAAUUCACAUCAAGAAAACCGGACAAUUAUGAGUUACAGCAUGUUCACCAAAAUAAAAGAGAGAGAAAGA